RNAcentral lists this ribosomal RNA (464 nucleotides) under Vreelandella stevensii. RNAcentral's name for it is "partial 16S ribosomal RNA". It matches the Rfam family "Bacterial small subunit ribosomal RNA", at positions 339 to 795 of the family's 1533-position model. The record is from RNAcentral. Lineage: Bacteria; Pseudomonadati; Pseudomonadota; Gammaproteobacteria; Oceanospirillales; Halomonadaceae.
CCUCGGGUGGCAGCAGUGGGGAAUAUUGGACAAUGGGCGAAAGCCUGAUCCAGCCAUGCCGCGUGUGUGAAGAAGGCCUUCGGGUUGUAAAGCACUUUCAGUGGGGAAGAAAGCCUUGGGGCUAAUACCCUCGAGGAAGGACAUCACCCACAGAAGAAGCACCGGCUAACUCCGUGCCAGCAGCCGCGGUAAUACGGAGGGUGCGAGCGUUAAUCGGAAUUACUGGGCGUAAAGCGCGCGUAGGCGGUCUGAUAAGCCGGUUGUGAAAGCCCCGGGCUCAACCUGGGAACGGCAUCCGGAACUGUCAGGCUAGAGUGCAGGAGAGGAAGGUAGAAUUCCCGGUGUAGCGGUGAAAUGCGUAGAGAUCGGGAGGAAUACCAGUGGCGAAGGCGGCCUUCUGGACUGACACUGACGCUGAGGUGCGAAAGCGUGGGUAGCAAACAGGAUUAGAUACCCCUGUAGUC